This 384-nucleotide long non-coding RNA is filed under the name Gossypium barbadense (sea-island cotton). RNAcentral describes it as "long non-coding RNA (GBAR_LNC000340)". Lineage: Eukaryota; Viridiplantae; Streptophyta; Magnoliopsida; Malvales; Malvaceae. The record is from RNAcentral.
UUUUAUAAUCAAGUUUUUUUUAUAUUUUAAAUUCGGCCCUGCUGUUUUGCCCUGAUUUCGUUCUGGUCCCUCACGCUGCGCAGCGUUUUAAUACAUGGGUUUAUUGCGCUUUUGACCCUUCAAGUUGCACGUGUGUUACAAUUAAGUCCAUUUUCUUUGUUUUUAUUUUAAAUUGGCCCCAUAACUUCGAUUUUAUUUUAAUUUUAGUCCUUUUUCUUACCUUUUCUCAUUUUUAAUGUUAUUGUAUUUAUUAUUACCUAUUACUUUAUUCUUAUUUUAUUUUUAUAUCAUUAUAUUUUAUCCACUUUUUAUAUUAUUAUUAUUAUUAUUAUUAUAUAUAUUUUAAUCUUACUUGUCAUAUUUUUCUUUUACACUAUUAUAUAC